GUGGGGAAUUUUGGACAAUGGGCGCAAGCCUGAUCCAGCAAUGCCGCGUGCAGGAAGAAGGCCUUCGGGUUGUAAACUGCUUUUGUACGGAACGAAACGGUCCUGGCUAAUAUCCGGGGCUAAUGACGGUACCGUAAGAAUAAGCACCGGCUAACUACGUGCCAGCAGCCGCGGUAAUACGUAGGGUGCGAGCGUUAAUCGGAAUUACUGGGCGUAAAGCGUGCGCAGGCGGUGCUGUAAGACAGGCGUGAAAUCCCCGGGCGCAACCUGGGAAUUGCGCUUGUGACUGCAGUGCUGGAGUGCGGCAGAGGGGGAUGGAAUUCCGCGUGUAGCAGUGAAAUGCGUAGAUAUGCGGAGGAACACCGAUGGCGAAGGCAAUCCCCUGGGCCUGCACUGACGCUCAUGCACGAAAGCGUGGGGAGCAAACAGGAUUAGAAACCCGAGUAGUCC
Molecule: ribosomal RNA, 450 nt
Filed under: uncultured bacterium
Lineage: Bacteria
Description: partial 16S ribosomal RNA
Rfam family: Bacterial small subunit ribosomal RNA
Source: RNAcentral